This 146-nucleotide unclassified non-coding RNA is filed under the name uncultured Cenococcum. Its description in RNAcentral is "sequence contains ITS2". Lineage: Eukaryota; Fungi; Ascomycota; Dothideomycetes; Gloniales; Gloniaceae. The record is from RNAcentral.
CACCACUCAAGCCUGGCUUGGUGUUGGGCGACGUCCCCUUUGGGGACGCGCCUCGAAACGCUCGGCGGCGUGGCACCGGCUUUAAGCGUAGCAGAAUCUUUCGCUUCAAAAGUCAGGGCCCCGUCUGCCGGAAGACCUACUCGCAA